UCAGUAACUCUGUGAUGUCAUACAUUGAGUAAAGGUCCAAUGUCAAAGAUUUAACAUUGAACUUUGCUCAUACCGGACUCACACUCAGUCAUAUAGUGUACUUAGUUGGUUGGCACGCUUAUAGCUACGGAGGGGACUAACCGUGUGUUUUUCAAAUGUCAUCAAUUCCACAUCAUUCACGUCAUGUGGGAAUUGGAGCACAUGAACACUUGCGGUGGGGAAAAAAAACGUAAUCACAAGGGCGGUCCUUGUCAUUCCCAGAUGCCAUGAAUGCACUGUAAUGAUGGGGUACAGUGGAAUACAUCCAUAUGCUGUAAUAUUUACACAUGGAUUUUUAAAGUGCUGCAUGGGCAAAAAUAAACUGUUGCACAUGCUUUCAACGUCUCUAUCCAUGUAGAGUCACUGUUGGAAGGUUUUACGAUGGCACUUGGACUGUCCACAUUACCUUGCUAAUGGAGUGGAAGUGGGCAGGGAGAAGGUGUAGGAGGUGGUUGUAAAAUGGUGUGUGCAUGAUGGAUCCAGCUAAAAUCCUUCA
Alosa alosa (allis shad) is the source of this 535-nucleotide long non-coding RNA. RefSeq lists it as uncharacterized. NCBI's taxonomy places the organism in Eukaryota, Metazoa, Chordata, Actinopteri, Clupeiformes, Clupeidae. The record is from RefSeq and is a predicted model, not a curated record. The transcript has 3 exons.